UAAUUUUCACCCUGAACUCACAAUUCAGCUAGACUGCUGGCCAGCAAAGCCCAGGGAUCCACCUGUGUCCACCUGCCCAGCUCUGAGAUGCUCUGGAAUUACAAGCACACAACACCGCGCCCAGCUUUUUGUCACACAGGUGCUGGGGAUCAAACUCAAGUUCUCAAGCCUGUUUGGCAAGCAUUUUACCAGCCGACCUGUCUCCUCAGCCUUCCUUCCUUCAUUUUGUCAUAGCAACAAGACAAAGUUGUUAACAUAGUACUCUAGAGGUAUUUAGGAGUUCCUUUGAUGCUUUUGAUUCUGUGCUGGGCUGGAACAAUGACAGAACAACUGAAAAUAUAGUAUUGAUUCUGGGAGGAACAACUGAAAAUAUAGUAUUGAUUCUGGGAGGAACUGCCUGUCCUGAGUCAGAAGCACACAGAGAUCCCUCUUCUGCUCAUUUCCAGCCCAGGGGCAGAGAUGGGUCUGACAAUAGUUUCCCCUCAGGAUCCCGAAGCUCUACAAGAUAAACAAGCAUUUUCUCUCCUAAGAAGUUGUCACAUCUUUUCCUGUGGCAGCUGCGUGAGGUUUGUACCUGAGUGAUCUAACAGGGGCUGAAGGAGGAGACUCGAGGGUGCUGAUGAGGUAGAGCAGCCGUGAGCCGGGAACAACGUCUGAAGCUGAGAGGAUAACAUUUUGAUACAAGGCUACAUAGUGUGCUUGGUGGGAUGAGGAUGAUUCACUCCAGAGAAUUCAUGACUAGUCGUUCUUAAUCUGGAAUUGGAAAGAUCCACAGCAUCUACGUGGCCAUUGGGAAUUCACAAUCCCCUGAAUGUCCAUGAUGGGUGACUCCAGCUACUGGUCUGAUACUUGGAAGGAGCGAAGCCUGAGCCAGGGAAAGCCACCAUUGUCUUAUCCAGCUCCGACUUGUAUAGGUUUCUUCAAGGCCGUCACGUGAGGAGGAAUGUGUCACCUCUGUGAACCCACUAUCUAAGCUUGUCUCUGGACUCUCAAAGUUCAAGGGUUUCAGCAACACCUAUGCACACAGCCCUAUCCCAUUGGAGUCACAUUUCCUCACCAGGACUGACUUUGGCCUGAGUCCUGUCUGAUUCAGGAACUCUGUCUUUACAUUGCUAUUGCUACUUCAGGCCAUCUCUCCUCCUAAUCUUCAGCUCUGUCUUCUGGUUACAGGAGAUGCUGCAAAGCCACAGGCUAUAUAUCCUGUGACACCUGUUUUUAUCCUUAGCACCUGCUAACAUUAAUAUGAUACCACAGUUCCAUUCUCUUGGUCACAGGGCUGUGAACCUCUGUCACCAUAAGUUGGUGUCAGGACACUUCUGUCACUGCGAUGAGCCUGUCCACGUCAGGGCUGAGGAACUGUCUCAGUCAACACAGUGUUGGCCGUGCAAGCAUGAGGAUCGGAAUCCAAUCUCUAAGACCCAUUUUUAAAGUCUGGGUGUGGUGGCAGGGCUUGUAGUUUCAGUGCAGGGAGCUGGAAACACCUGGGCUUCUGAGGAUUGCUGAGCAGGCGGUCCUGCCUAAUCUGUGAAUUCCAGGCCAGGCAGAGACCUGCCUCAAACAAAAAACCCCCAAACUCCAAAACCAAAGUGGAUGUCACCAAACAGUGGCAUCUGAAGUUGACCUCUGGCUUCUACAUGCACAAUGUACACAAACAUACACACAUAUGAACACCCCCCAUCACACCUAGCCACUAGCCACUAAUACAAACACACAAUACACACAUGAUGGCAUAUA
Molecule: non-coding RNA, 1734 nt
Organism: Peromyscus maniculatus bairdii (prairie deer mouse)
Lineage: Eukaryota; Metazoa; Chordata; Mammalia; Rodentia; Cricetidae
Source: RefSeq, a predicted model, not a curated record